RNAcentral lists this ribosomal RNA (584 nucleotides) under uncultured bacterium. RNAcentral describes it as "bacterial SSU rRNA". It matches the Rfam family "Bacterial small subunit ribosomal RNA", at positions 338 to 916 of the family's 1533-position model. The record is from RNAcentral.
CCUACGGGAGGCAGCAGUGGGGAAUUUUGGACAAUGGGCGCAAGCCUGAUCCAGCCAUGCCGCGUGCGGGAAGAAGGCCUUCGGGUUGUAAACCGCUUUUGUCAGGGAAGAAAAGGUUCUGGCUAAUACCUGGGACUCAUGACGGUACCUGAAGAAUAAGCACCGGCUAACUACGUGCCAGCAGCCGCGGUAAUACGUAGGGUGCAAGCGUUAAUCGGAAUUACUGGGCGUAAAGCGUGCGCAGGCGGUUAUGCAAGACAGAGGUGAAAUCCCCGGGCUCAACCUGGGAACUGCCUUUGUGACUGCAUAGCUAGAGUACGGUAGAGGGGGAUGGAAUUCCGCGUGUAGCAGUGAAAUGCGUAGAUAUGCGGAGGAACACCGAUGGCGAAGGCAAUCCCCUGGACCUGUACUGACGCUCAUGCACGAAAGCGUGGGGAGCAAACAGGAUUAGAUACCCUGGUAGUCCACGCCCUAAACGAUGUCAACUGGUUGUUGGGAGGGUUUCUUCUCAGUAACGUAGCUAACGCGUGAAGUUGACCGCCUGGGGAGUACGGCCGCAAGGUUGAAACUUAAUGAAUUGACGG